RNAcentral lists this ribosomal RNA (92 nucleotides) under Candidatus Pullilachnospira stercoravium. RNAcentral describes it as "partial 23S ribosomal RNA". It matches the Rfam family "Bacterial large subunit ribosomal RNA", at positions 2833 to 2925 of the family's 2925-position model. The record is from RNAcentral. Lineage: Bacteria; Bacillati; Bacillota; Clostridia; Lachnospirales; Lachnospiraceae.
ACCCCUUGAAGACGACGAGGUAGAUAGGGCAGAGGUGGAAGUACAGUAAUGUAUGGAGCUGACUGUUACUAAUCGGUCGAGGGUUUGACCUG